This is a long non-coding RNA of Schistocerca serialis cubense, 2606 nucleotides long. RefSeq lists it as uncharacterized. The record is from RefSeq and is a predicted model, not a curated record. The transcript is spliced from 3 exons. NCBI's taxonomy places the organism in Eukaryota, Metazoa, Arthropoda, Insecta, Orthoptera, Acrididae.
AUACUAAGCCAGUAGAAAGCAUCAAUAGGCAGAGCAUGGAAAAAUGCCGUCACAUGGGGUGAAUAGAAACAGAUUUCAACAUCAAAGAAAAAAACAGUUUCAGGCACAGCAGAUGGAAUGCCUGCUGCUCACUGAACUGACGUCCUUACUACAAACUCAAAAAUCACCGCCACGGGUAGCUGCUCCAAAGUUUUGCCCACACCACAGCCAGAACAAAGAGUGGUCGGACUUUGCCACCUACAAAAUAACAGACUGCAGUACCCAAGUGAUAGGUCUGCAAGACAGUGGCGAGUGCCACUUCAUGCAUACGAAGACAUGGAAGAGUUACUAAUUACAAAAAUCUUUCCAUUCUUAGAUUAGAUUAGAUUAGAGUCACAGAUCUUGUCUGCAACUGGGAGCAGAUACUGUAAAUAAAAAGUUGAUGGAUAAUGGCAACAGAAUAACUGAUUUUUAUAGAAAAAAAAGUGAUCAGGUAUUUUGAUACUACAGAAUUAUGUUGCUCAUGGCAUUACAGUGAAAAAUAAAAAGACAAAUUACAAAAUAAAUACAUUAUUAAGAAUGUACUAAGUGGCAUACCAGGAAACUGACUGGUUCCAAGUGCCAAUAAGGAAGUUUUUACAAAUUGAUUCCAACAAAGAAGAAAACAGCAACCAGACACUGUUAAUAAUACUAUAGCGCUGUUACACAGUUUCGGAUCAACAGCUUCAUCUUCAGAUAGAUAUUCAUGCUUAUAUUACAUGUGGUGGUGUUCACAUUAGUUGAUGGCUAUUUUGUUCUCAGAAACUAAUUUGUGCUGAUGGCCUUACUCUAGCCACCCAGAGCACAGAUUUUGAAUCAGUUGAGAACACCCUCACAGAUGCCCUUAAAGAACUUUACAGAUACAACAACACAAACCAACUUAAACCAAAUCUCACAAGUGUGUGAGUUUUUAUUUGAGAAACAGGGAAGCUAGUUGAAAUUAAAGAUAGCAUGGUCAGGUGUUGAACUGGAACACCAUGAGACCCCAAAAUACCUAGGAGUGACACCUGAUAGAUCUCUUAGUUUCAAGAAGCACUACAUGAACUGCAACUCAUAAGCUUCCACCAGGAACAAUCUUCUAGGGAAACUGACCAGAUCACAGUGGGGUAGUCAACCUGAAACUCUACAAACCUCUGUAUGUCCUACUUGGUAUAAUUCAAUACAUGCCACACAGGUGGACAUAGCUCUCAAUGACACCUGCAGUAUCACAACAGAUUGAUUUAAAUCUCACACAGACAAUGGCUUUAUCACCUCACAGGAACAGCAGCAGCUCCUUUUCAAAGAGAAACAGUCGUGAAUGAGGAAAUAAAGGGAGUGGAGCUCGAGAGAACGCAUCCUCUGUAUGGGCACGAACCUCACCCACAAUGACUGAAAUCAAGGAGGGGUUUCUUAAGAACAUCAACGGCACUUUGAACCACUGCUGAAAAAGCUAGGUUGCAACUAUGGAGGGCUACGACCUACCUUCCCUCUGGCUGGAAUAGAGUUUCAAAAAUCCUACCUACUGGCCAUGAUGAGAAAUGGAUGAUCUGGAAGUCCCAGAACAGACUGAGAUCUGGAGUUUGGCAAGAUGGGGCUACACUGAUCAAGAUGUUGUUUAUCAGAGACUUCCAUGCCGACCGUGUCCAGCCUCCCACACAGAAAAUGAACUUCAUCAAGUAGCAGAAAAUGCACUGUAAGUGGCAAAGUUUUGGCAAAAGUAAUAUAGUCACAACUGUGUACAUAAUAUAUAGGUUUCUGGUACAAGAAUAAAAUAAUGUAAACAACAACAAAAUAUGUAAUAUAAACAUGAACAUCUGUCUAAAGAUGACCCAUCAGUUUGAAACCAGUAGUAGGGCUAUUUGUGUAAAUAAACAGCAUUAUUAAUGGUGAAUGGUCGCUGUUUUCUUCUUUUCAUGAAUCAACUUGUAAUUUAUGCACAGCUAUGGACUAAAAAAUGCCAGGUUUUGGCAAAAUACCAGAAAGUAAGUUUUUGCUCCAAAUGCAAUUAAUACUGAUGCACUACAUUUUAUUUAUGAUAAUACAAGUACAGAAAUACAGUGUUACGCUUUUAACUGGUAGAACUGUAAUCAACAAAAACCACUUCCCAUAUCUUUUAAAUUUUUGAACUCCAGAGGGAAGCACAGCUUGGCACAAAGUCUAUGCGCCAUCUACUAACGUGUGUCUGAAAGACUUUGUUCAUGGUUUGGCACAUGAAUCAAGUCAAGAGUCAUGCAACAGAGUACUGAGAACACACUUUGUGAAAAAAAUAGCACUCAAAAUAUUUUCCAUUUCCACUCUUCUAAUGUAUCUUAAAAUCAUGAAUUAACACUUCCUAAUACUACUGCAACACUGCAGACAUUCACAUCUCACUCACAACCUACUGCAAACAAGGAAGCAACACACAUUAAAUAAGAAGUAAGUGAGGCAGCACUAUCCACUACUGUCAUGCAGUUGCAUCUGUGUAAAAAUUACAAGCAAUCAUUAAAACAAUCUGCACCUAUUAUAUACGACUUUCAAUUACCCUCAUCACUUGAAAUAAAACUGUAAUGAUUGCAGUUAGUGAAUAUAAACUGGAUCUUAUCAUUGCAAGUGACUGACCUGUUGGAAGA